UGGUCUAUGGUGUAAUUGGCAGCACGACUGAUUCUGGUUCAGUUAGUCUUGGUUCGAGUCCAGGUAGGCCAG
RNAcentral lists this transfer RNA (72 nucleotides) under Streptomyces rochei. It matches the Rfam family "tRNA". Rfam says of the family: Transfer RNA (tRNA) molecules are approximately 80 nucleotides in length. Lineage: Bacteria; Bacillati; Actinomycetota; Actinomycetes; Kitasatosporales; Streptomycetaceae. RNAcentral also lists the same sequence under 4 other names. The record is from RNAcentral.